UCCUACGGGAGGCAGCAGUGGGGAAUAUUGCGCAAUGGGGGAAACCCUGACGCAGCGACGCCGCGUGAGCGAAGAAGGCCUUCGGGUUGUAAAGCUCUGUUGUAAGGGACGAAGGAGCUGGGUAGUAACUGACCUGGCGGUGACGGUACCUUACCAGCAAGCCCCGGCUAACUACGUGCCAGCAGCCGCGGUAAGACGUAGGGGGCGAGCGUUGUCCGGAAUUACUGGGCGUAAAGAGCACGUAGGCGGGUAUUUAAGUCAGGUGUGAAAGACCGCGGCCCAACUGCGGGGUUGCACUUGAAACUGAAUAUCUUGAGGGCAGGAGAGGUCAGUGGAAUUCCUGGUGUAGCGGUGAAAUGCGUAGAUAUCAGGAGGAACACCAGUGGCGAAGGCGACUGACUGGACUGACCCUGACGCUGAGGUGCGAAAGCGUGGGUAGCAAACAGGAUUAGAUACCCUGGUAGUCCACGCCGUAAACGAUGGAUACUAGGUGUGGGAGGUAUCGACCCCUUCCGUGCCGGAGCUAACGCAAUAAGUUCCCGC
Molecule: ribosomal RNA, 543 nt
Filed under: uncultured bacterium
Lineage: Bacteria
Description: bacterial SSU rRNA
Rfam family: Bacterial small subunit ribosomal RNA
Source: RNAcentral